GGCAUUCUGGCUUCAACGACAAUCUAUGCUCCACAAUCUCAAAAUCCAAACCAGGUAUAUCUUGAUAGGACCAAGAAAACACAUCAGACUAGUCUCGAAGAAGAUCAAUCAACCUCUUUUUAGCUUCUAGACACAGUUGAGACCUAAUCUUGACUUCCUUCACAUCACCAUUGGAACCUAAGUUGACUAAUUCAAUUUGCUCUUCAAACGGCUGAAUGGCUUUCUCCUCGUGCUCAAGCAAACAUGAUAACUCAUUAGAUACUUCUU
RNAcentral lists this long non-coding RNA (267 nucleotides) under Lathyrus oleraceus (garden pea). Its description in RNAcentral is "Pisum sativum (pea) long non-coding RNA (PSAT_LNC024296)". Lineage: Eukaryota; Viridiplantae; Streptophyta; Magnoliopsida; Fabales; Fabaceae. The record is from RNAcentral.